RNAcentral lists this non-coding RNA (45 nucleotides) under Trichobilharzia regenti. The record is from RNAcentral. Lineage: Eukaryota; Metazoa; Platyhelminthes; Trematoda; Strigeidida; Schistosomatidae.
AUCCAGCUGACGAGUCCCGAAUAGGACGAAAUGUGCAUCCUCGAU